Non-coding RNA from Paramuricea clavata, 206 nucleotides. The record is from the annotation of a GenBank genome assembly. Lineage: Eukaryota; Metazoa; Cnidaria; Anthozoa; Malacalcyonacea; Plexauridae.
AGGGAUUGGACCUGACCGUCUGAUUAUAGCUCUUCAAUUUCCGCCAUCUUGUUUUCACUUUUUGGACUUGCUCCAGUUAUAUAUUGAGAUCAUUGGGGUUAUCUCAUUUGUUUUGUAUCCAUAAAAGAGUAUCCAUGAAUCUAUAUAUUAAUUCGCAUGCAUGCAUAUACUUACUUAUUUAUUUAUUUAUUUAAAAGGCCAUGGGC